GAUGAACGCUGACAGAAUGCUUAACACAUGCAAGUCUUUGGCGAAGCUGUGCUUGCACAGCCUAGCCAAGGCGGACGGGUGAGUAACGCGUAAGGAACUUGCCCUGCAGUCAGGGAUAACAGACGGAAACGACUGAUAAGACCUGGUAAAGUCAGGCGGACUCAUGUCCAGCCUGAUGAAAAGAGAUGCUGCAGGAGAGCCUUGCGUCCUAUUAGCUUGUUGGUGGGGUAACGGCCCACCAAGGCGAUGAUAGGUAGCCGGCCUGAGAGGGUGGACGGCCACAAGGGGACUGAGAUACGGCCCUGACUCCUACGGGAGGCAGCAGUGGGGAAUAUUGGACAAUGGGGGCAACCCUGAUCCAGCAAUUCUGUGUGCACGAUGAAGGUUUUCGGAGUGUAAAGUGCUUUCAGCAGGGAAGAAAAAAAUGACGGUACCUGCAGAAGAAGCGACGGCUAAAUACGUG
Molecule: ribosomal RNA, 463 nt
Filed under: uncultured bacterium
Lineage: Bacteria
Description: partial 16S ribosomal RNA
Rfam family: Bacterial small subunit ribosomal RNA
Source: RNAcentral